CGACGCCGCGUGCGGGAAGAAGGCCUUCGGGUGUAAACCGCUUUCAGGAGGGACGAAGCCACUCGGGUUAAUAGCCCAGAGGGUGACGGUACCUCCAGAAGAAGCCCCGGCUAACUACGUGCCAGCAGCCGCGGUAAUACGUAGGGGGCAAGCGUUGUCCGGAUUCAUUGGGCGUAAAGCGCGUGUAGGCGGCCAGAUAGGUCCGAUGUGAAAACUGGGGGCUCAACCUCCAGCUGUCAUUGGAAACCCUCUGGCUAGAGUCCGGAAGAGGAGAGUGGAAUUCCUGGUGUAGCGGUGAAAUGCGCAGAUAUCAGGAAGAACACCUAUGGCGAAGGCAGCUCUCUGGGACGGUACUGACGCUGAGACGCGAAAGCGUGGGGAGCGAACAGGAUUAGAUACCCUGGUAGUCCACGCCGUAAACGAUGGGCGCUAGGUGUGGGCGGUGUCGACUCCGUCCGUGCCGAAGCUAACGCAUUAAGCGCCCCGCCUGGGGAGUACGGCCGCAAGGCUA
RNAcentral lists this ribosomal RNA (511 nucleotides) under uncultured Actinomycetes bacterium. RNAcentral's name for it is "bacterial SSU rRNA". It matches the Rfam family "Bacterial small subunit ribosomal RNA", at positions 392 to 896 of the family's 1533-position model. Lineage: Bacteria; Bacillati; Actinomycetota; Actinomycetes. The record is from RNAcentral.